UGAGGAAUAUUGCGCAAUGGGCGAAAGCCUGACGCAGCAACGCCGCGUGGGGGACGAAGGCCUUCGGGUCGUAAACCUCUUUUCUGGGGGACGAGUAAGGACGGUACCUCAGGAAUAAGUCUCGGCUAACUACGUGCCAGCAGCCGCGGUAAAACGUAGGAGGCGAGCGUUAUCCGGAUUUACUGGGCGUAAAGCGCACGCAGGUGGCUUCGUAAGUCGGACAUGAAAGCUCCUGGCUUAACUAGGAGAGGUUGUUCGAUACUGCGGGGCUUGAGGUUGGGAGAGGGACGUGGAAUUCCCGGUGUAGUGGUGGAAUGCGUAGAUAUCGGGAGGAACACCAGUGGCGCAAGCGGCGUCCUGGCCCACACCUGACGCUGAGGUGCGAAAGCGUGGGGAGCAAACA
Molecule: ribosomal RNA, 403 nt
Filed under: uncultured Chloroflexota bacterium
Lineage: Bacteria; Bacillati; Chloroflexota
Description: uncultured Chloroflexi bacterium partial 16S ribosomal RNA
Rfam family: Bacterial small subunit ribosomal RNA
Source: RNAcentral